AUGAGUGGUAAUUGGUUUGUUUGGGCUGGCAGGCUCCGUGCUCGUGCAUCGAACUGUCGCCCUUCGAUCCCUGUUCAUCGACAACCCUAGGGCUUAAUUGCCCUUGCGGUGGAGCUUUGGUUCCUGUGUUGCGUACCCCAUUAUUGCGGAAUUACUCUGUUGGAAUAUCCUUUCCUUCCCCGUCUUCAAGUCGACGAACGGGGAGGACAACAUGGCGAUUCGAGCGUUCCAUGCACGCAUAAGCCCUAGGCGGUUGCUAUGGCACAUUCGUUCUUGUCGGUGCUUUUGGAUGCGGAAUGUUGUGCUUUGCAAGAGGAGCUCUUCAGCCCUCUGUAGUCCCGAAUAGAGCAAAAAUUGCUCAAUAAGUCUGACUAUCGCACAUGCUUUGGCACGUCGUUCUAAUUUAUUAGCUCGGUGGGCCAUUGCGCGUUGCGGUGUCGCGAAAGAUCGCUACCUGGUUGAUCCUGCCAGUAGUCAUAUGCUUGUCUCAAAGAUUAAGCCAUGCAUGUGUAAGUAUGAACUAAUUCAAACUGUGAAACUGC
Molecule: unclassified non-coding RNA, 542 nt
Filed under: Melicytus micranthus
Lineage: Eukaryota; Viridiplantae; Streptophyta; Magnoliopsida; Malpighiales; Violaceae
Description: partial contains external transcribed spacer and 18S ribosomal RNA
Rfam family: Eukaryotic small subunit ribosomal RNA (bases 452-542)
Source: RNAcentral